ACAACCCCUGUCUAUUUGGAAAAAAAAAGAAAUUGAAAAAAAAAUGUAGCGACAUGCAAAGGUUAGAUUGGUUAUGUUGAUGCAAAAGAUAGAUCUGCAAACACAAAGGGCUAAUACCCGAUUUAAACGUUAAGGCGUGCUAGUCGAUUUGACCUUACUAUCGGCAAAGGUGAUAACUCAAAUACUUUGGUCCCGACAACAGCGAUACGCCCGGAUGCCACGGCCAAGAGGUAUUCACGCGGAACUAGAGAACACGCCAAGCUUAAGUCGACGAAUUCCUAAGAACUCGUAGUAAAAAGAAAAAGUAUAACGAAGUCGUCGAAAUAGUAGAUGCUGGAAUAUAAGUAAAAACUGGUGUUUGAUUGAUUUAUUUAUUCUAUUCAUUACAAAGCCCUAGGGUCUACAUUUAUAUCCUGCUCAAAGAACUACAACCAGACACGACUAGGACUCGAAUUCUAAAUUAAACAGAAUCCGUAUACAAAACGAAUUUAAACAACUAAGGAAAACAUAAAACCACCCCCUUGUAACCGACCGGGACACCGCCACAGAUCAAUCAGCAACCUCCACGCUUCCCUUCAGAGUCAUCGGCAGUCUCUCUGUUAUGGCCAUCGGCAAACACCAAUAUUGAUCAUCGGCAAGAACACGUCACCACCUUUGGAUUUAGUCAUAUUCAAUCUUCUCUUCAUCGGCAUCCAUCCUCAUCGGCAACUCUUCUGUAAGCUAGUUACUCUUGCUCCACCUGCCGAUCUAUACUCUGCUGGUCUCUGGGUACAUGCCCA
RNAcentral lists this long non-coding RNA (779 nucleotides) under Sorghum bicolor (sorghum). RNAcentral describes it as "long non-coding RNA (SBIC_LNC015073)". Lineage: Eukaryota; Viridiplantae; Streptophyta; Magnoliopsida; Poales; Poaceae. The record is from RNAcentral.